RNAcentral lists this ribosomal RNA (465 nucleotides) under uncultured bacterium. RNAcentral's name for it is "partial 16S ribosomal RNA". It matches the Rfam family "Bacterial small subunit ribosomal RNA", at positions 28 to 507 of the family's 1533-position model. The record is from RNAcentral.
GACGAACGCUGGCGGCGUGCUUAACACAUGCAAGUCGAACGGAAAGGCCCUGCUUGCAGGGUACUCGAGUGGCGAACGGGUGAGUAACACGUGGGUGAUCUGCCCUGCACUUCGGGAUAAGCCUGGGAAACUGGUUCUAAUACCGGAUAGGAGCCAUUUUUAGUGUGAUGGUUGGAAAGUUUUUUCGGUGUAGGAUGAGCUCGCGGCCUAUCAGCUUGUUGGUGGGGUAAUGGCCUACCAAGGCGGCGACGGGUAGCCGGCCUGAGAGGGUGGACGGCCACAUUGGGACUGAGAUACGGCCCAGACUCCUACGGGAGGCAGCAGUGGGGAAUAUUGCACAAUGGGCGCAAGCCUGAUGCAGCGACGCCGCGUGGGGGAUGACGGCCUUCGGGUUGUAAACUCCUUUCGCUAGGGACGAAGCUUUUUGUGACGGUACCUAGAUAAGAAGCACCGGCUAACUACGUG